CUAUGCGCCUUGCCAGCCCGCUCAGGUGUGCCAGCCGCCGCGGUAAUACGUAGGUGGCGAGCGUUGUCCGGAUUUACUGGGCGUAAAGGGAGCGUAGGCGGACUUUUAAGUGAGAUGUGAAAUACUCGGGCUCAACUUGAGUGCUGCAUUUCAAACUGGAAGUCUAGAGUGCAGGAGAGGAGAAUGGAAUUCUUAGUGUAGCGGUGAAAUGCGUAGAGAUUAGGAAGAACACCAGUGGCGAAGGCGAUUCUCUGGACUGUAACUGACGCUGAGGCACGAAAGUGUGGGGAGCAAACAGG
This 299-nucleotide ribosomal RNA is filed under the name uncultured bacterium. RNAcentral's name for it is "partial 16S ribosomal RNA". It matches the Rfam family "Bacterial small subunit ribosomal RNA", at positions 475 to 776 of the family's 1533-position model. The record is from RNAcentral.